CCCGUGAACCAUCAAGUCUUUGAACGCAAGUUGCGCCCGAGGCUAAUCGGCCGAGGGCACGUCUGCCUGGGCGUCAAGCAUUUUGUUUCUUCGUGCCAUCACCACCCCACUAAUAGGUGUGCUAGUGAUGCUCGAAUGUGAAGAGUGGUUCGCCGUGCCCUUUGGUGCGGCGGACUGAAAAGCGGGUGUUUAUCCUCCCGGCCAUGAUAGACAAAGGGUGGACGAAAGCCACGAGCACGGCCAAACAAUGUCUCAGGCUGGCCAGAGGAAGAUUAUACAUCCAUAGUGAACCCAAACUCAUAUGCCGUAUCGUAAGAGUCGGCUUGGAAUGCGACCCCAGGAUGGGCGGGGCUACCCGCUGAGUUUAAGCAUAUCAAUAAGCGGAGGAGAAGAAACUUAAGAGGAUUCCCCUAGUAACGGCGAGCGAACCGGGAUCAGCCCAGCAUGGGAAUCGAGCUACCAUGUAGUAGCUUGA
Molecule: ribosomal RNA, 475 nt
Filed under: Neottia cordata
Lineage: Eukaryota; Viridiplantae; Streptophyta; Magnoliopsida; Asparagales; Orchidaceae
Description: eukaryotic LSU rRNA
Rfam family: Eukaryotic large subunit ribosomal RNA (bases 332-475)
Source: RNAcentral